CCUGCGUUUCUGAAAGUUUAGCUUCAGCUGGCUUUAACGGGAGAAAAUGCAAACAUAUAUUCAGUUGUACUUGGUUCUCAGUCCACUAAAGAGCGGCCUCAGCAGACUCCUUCUCGUUCUCAAUCGAGCUAUGGAACUGCCAAUCAGCCGUCAACAAGGCUGAUUUCAUUCCUGCCUUUGCCACCCACUCCAACCUCAGUUUGCUGGCUCUGAAUGAGACCUGGAUGCAAAGAGAGAACACUGCAACACCCGAUGCCCUGGCCUCCAAUUUCAACUUCUCCCACACCACAGAUAAGCCACAAGCAGCUGACAUUCUUGCUUUUCUACCUACGUUUGAACUGAAGCAGCUUCCCACCCCAGCAACUCAUAAAGCUGGCAAACAGCUCGUCCUCAUCCUCAC
This is a long non-coding RNA of Pangasianodon hypophthalmus (striped catfish), 400 nucleotides long. RefSeq lists it as uncharacterized. The transcript has 3 exons. The record is from RefSeq and is a predicted model, not a curated record. Lineage: Eukaryota; Metazoa; Chordata; Actinopteri; Siluriformes; Pangasiidae.